RNAcentral lists this ribosomal RNA (494 nucleotides) under uncultured bacterium. RNAcentral describes it as "partial 16S ribosomal RNA". It matches the Rfam family "Bacterial small subunit ribosomal RNA", at positions 28 to 507 of the family's 1533-position model. The record is from RNAcentral.
GACGAACGCUGGCGGCGCGCUUAACACAUGCAAGUCGAACGGAAAGGCCUGCUUUCCCUUGUGGAUUGCGGGUACUCGAGUGGCGAACGGGUGAGUAACACGUGAGUGAUCUGCCCCCAACUUGGGUAUAAGCCUGGGAAACUGGGUCUAAUUCCCGAUAGGACUGCAGGGUGGUGCCUGUGGUGGAAAACGAUUUUCUAGUGGUUGGGGAUGAGCUCGCGGCCUAUCAGCUUGUUGGUGGGGUAAUGGCCUACCAAGUCGGCGACGGGUAGCCGGCCUGAGAGGGUGGACGGCCACAUUGGGACUGAGAUACGGCCCAGACUCCUACGGGAGGCAGCAGUGGGGAAUAUUGCACAAUGGGCGGAAGCCUGAUGCAGCGACGCCGCGUGGGGGAUGACGGGCUUCGGGUUGUAAACUCCUUUCGACCGCGAGGAAGCCACCUGGUUGGAAGGGUGGUGACGGUAGUGGUAGAAGAAGCACCGGCUAACUACGUG